UUAGUAGUGUGCUAAUUCCUAAUAAUAUAAAUAGAAUGGAGACAAUGACACUAUCUGUUUAUUCUUGAUGCUUUUGGUGCGACAGGACAUAUCUUAUUUCGUAGAUGAAAUAGAGUUGUGCAUGUUGUACAACUCUUAACACCUGAAGGAGUUUGAGUUGCGUCCAUUGUACAAUCUUAACACCUGAAUUAGUAUUCAUCUCUAGAAAUUAUUUGAUUAACCUAUAUAAUUAGGCCCCACCAAAUUAACGUUAUAUAUCCUUCUCUUUUUCUCUGGAUUAUUGAAGAAUUUGUUGGCAUUUUUUUAGUUUUCGGUUUCAAGAAUUGUUAUGGUACCUUCAGUCUCAUGAGUUGUGUAAUCUGAAGAUAAAGAUUUUACUUUGCGCUGUUCGCCUAUUGAAUCCUCCUGAUUCAUGAUUUUAUACAUAUUGCAUUAUUUGCUUGUAGAGUUGGCAAGGCUUGGAAAUGAUUGUGUAGAUGCUCUACAAGCCCACGAUGAUACAUCUGGGAGUCUUGAAGCUUUGAAUGCUGCUGAAUUGAAGUUAAAAUAUAUACUUAGUUCACCUUCGGUAGAUGCUGCUUGUAGAAAGAUUGACUUGGCUGAGAAGAAGGAACUAGAUUCUGCAUUAGUGUUAAUGCUUUUGAAAGCUUGGUCAGCUGCAAAGGGCACUGACAUCACAAAAUUUGAGGUUGCAGGAGUCCAGAGGUGUUGCACACUUGGGCAAGAGCUAUAGUUCAUGCAUAUUGUAACAGCAGAGAAGGCACUCUUCUUAGGCUGGCAAGAGACUUGAUGAACCCUAAAAUCAUCAAGAGAGUUGAAGAGAUAGUGAAGAUAAUCAAGGAUAAAUACCAUUAGGUUUCGGUCAUCAGAAUAUUGGGGUUUAACAUUUCUACUGAUUGCAUGAGCCUUAUGAUGGGACAUUAGGGUGGAACUACAGGCAUCAUUACAGCUGAGCCCUUCACCAUUGCUAGAAGUGGAGAAGGGCAAUACUUCAUAGAUGAAAUGCAGAUUGUUGUAACUUUACACAGUGCAAAGCGAUUGUAGCAUGUGAUAUACUCGAUGUAGCUUUCACUUAGUUUUGCCUGUCUUUUUCAUUUACAGAUUGGGAAAGUCUCCACGUCUCAAAUAUUCUAACAGUGUUGUAACUCGUGUGACUAGUUUAGAUAUCAUUGCUUUUUAUCAGAAGUCAUAUAUGUGUGAAAAUAUCCUUGUGAUGAGCUAUUUGAGGGGCUCGAUAGUGUUGUAACUCGUUUGACUAGUAUAGAUAUUAUUGCUUUUGUCAGAA
This is a long non-coding RNA of Phragmites australis (common reed), 1285 nucleotides long. RefSeq lists it as uncharacterized. NCBI's taxonomy places the organism in Eukaryota, Viridiplantae, Streptophyta, Magnoliopsida, Poales, Poaceae. The transcript has 2 exons. The record is from RefSeq and is a predicted model, not a curated record.